AUGUAGCUCUUGAAGCGUUCAGAAAGGCGCGCUCGCAAAGUUCACCUGUUACGAUACGCCCGCCUAACAAGUUGUGCUCUUUUGCUUGUCAACGUUUGUCCGAAUUUGGUGACGCGGGUAGCUUCGUCCUUUCUCAACCUGUUCCGUCAAAAGUAAGAGCUCCUUGAAAACGUCAUUGCUCCGAAGAAUCAACGACUCCCAUCGGCAGAACAUAGCUUGCCGAAUUGCUAGUUUCAAAGCACGAAGAGCUGAAACAGACACUGGUGAUCGCUGCAGGAUAGGCGCAGGUUGAGCAUGAGAUCAGAGGUUCGAGCAAGGUUGGAAAUUAAGCAACGUGGGACACAGUCUGGCGAAUGAAGAAAGAAAAGAAAAACGACGAACGUAACCUUCCAGUUGCCCGACCUGCUGCGCUACUUUCCUGCUCUCUUCCAAAAAUGGAACGCCAGAGUCAUCACAAACGGCGAUAGCGAAUGCUUCCGCGUAAUCUCCAACCCGGGUUUCCGUGCCAACAGGGUGCAGCACAGCCAGCUUCAACUACAUUCAAGAAACCCAACAUUAUGCAACCUUAACCCAACAUUCAAGGUCCACUGAAUGACAAUAGCAGCAGAACAAAACAAUAAAUUUAGUGAAAACAAGAAACUUUAAUUAG
Long non-coding RNA from Dermacentor albipictus, 649 nucleotides. RefSeq lists it as uncharacterized. Lineage: Eukaryota; Metazoa; Arthropoda; Arachnida; Ixodida; Ixodidae. The record is from RefSeq and is a predicted model, not a curated record.